Molecule: long non-coding RNA, 1072 nt
Filed under: Numida meleagris (helmeted guineafowl)
Lineage: Eukaryota; Metazoa; Chordata; Aves; Galliformes; Numididae
Description: lncRNA (ENSNMEG00000020803.1)
Source: RNAcentral
AUGGGCUGCACUAUUAGCUUCAGGCCACAGCCAGGCUCGUGCCACAUUUUAGCCUUUUAUCAUUGCAAACCUGGGGACGUGCUGGGAAAAAGUCUGAGUGAAUUGCGUUUCAGCUCAUCCCUUCUUUCACUGCUCACGGCUAAAGCAGCUCUUGUCAGUUUCAUGGCAGUUCAUAAAUAUUGCUGCCUGGGUAGAGAGUGGUAGCAGAAGCGGUACUGGGAGAGUUUGCUGUAAGGAUACGUCCCUUGGAUGCCUCUGCUGAGACUGUGUUGCUGCAGCUCUGUGCUGCUGCGGUGGCCAUGGCAAUGGUGCAUCUGUGGGGUAAACCCACCCUUUUGAUGAGAACAGUCAUGUCCUUGGUCACAGGGAGGGCCUAAGGGCAGCCAGGCUGGGUGCACCCAAGGCUUGGGAUGGCACUGGGGACCUUUGGUUGGGUUGGAGUGGCGGUAGUUGUGUAUCCAGUAAUCCCUAGCAAUUCACUGUAUCCUAAAAUGCUGUUUCAUUAAAGCUGCUCUUGCCUUCCAGAGUGGGGAGGUAGGCCACUGAACCAGCUGUGGUUUUCUGUCAGUUCACUAUACUGGAGUUUGAAACUCUGCCUCUGGGUUUGCCAGUGCUGUUCUUUCUGAUGCUACCCAGUUGUUUUGCAUGGCCUUGAAGUGGUUUCCCAGCUAUUUGAACUCCCUAAAUGACAAUGCUUCAUUACUGUCUGAUGGAGAAGUGGAAUCUUCUGUUUAUAUGUAAAGGUUCCCCUCCUUCCCCCCUACCUCCCUCAACAUAUGCAAAGGCACUGCAGAAACUGGAAACAGAUAAAAAGAAGAAAACGGGCUUUUAAAACGAGUUCUGAAGUGUAAAGAUGUGAAGGCCACUUAGAAAUCAUUGCCUUGCGCUUUCUCCCACACUGUGAUUCAUUUGGUCCAAUCCAUCAUUGAUUCAACAUGCUCAUCCGCCAGAGCCUUCAAAGACAACUGUGCAUCUGCUUUCGCCAUUCAUCAAGGAGGAGCACAAAGGAGAAGGGCAAAGGAAAAUGUAUUGCCAGCUCCCUUUGGUGCUGUUUAAUGGGUGUGAAAAAAGG